This 85-nucleotide transfer RNA is filed under the name Felis catus (domestic cat). It matches the Rfam family "tRNA". From Rfam's summary of the family: Transfer RNA (tRNA) molecules are approximately 80 nucleotides in length. Their secondary structure includes four short double-helical elements and three loops (D, anti-codon, and T loops). Lineage: Eukaryota; Metazoa; Chordata; Mammalia; Carnivora; Felidae. The record is from Rfam by way of RNAcentral.
ACUAGGGUGGCUCAGUUGGUUAAGCACCUGACUCUGGUUCAGGUCAUGAUCUCAUGGUUUGUGAGUUCAAGUCCCACAUCAGGUG